AGUGAACGCUGGCGGUAGGCCUAACACAUGCAAGUCGAACGGCAGCACAGUAAGAGCUUGCUCUUACGGGUGGCGAGUGGCGGACGGGUGAGGAAUACAUCGGAAUCUACUUUUUCGUGGGGGAUAACGUAGGGAAACUUACGCUAAUACCGCAUACGACCUACGGGUGAAAGCAGGGGAUCUUCGGACCUUGCGCGAUUGAAUGAGCCGAUGUCGGAUUAGCUAGUUGGCGGGGUAAAGGCCCACCAAGGCGACGAUCCGUAGCUGGUCUGAGAGGAUGAUCAGCCACACUGGAACUGAGACACGGUCCAGACUCCUACGGGAGGCAGCAGUGGGGAAUAUUGGACAAUGGGCGCAAGCCUGAUCCAGCCAUACCGCGUGGGUGAAGAAGGCCUUCGGGUUGUAAAGCCCUUUUAUUGGGAAAGAAAAGCAGCAGAUUAAUACCCCGCUGUUCUGACGGUACCCAAAGAAUAAGCACCGGCUAACUUCGUG
This 492-nucleotide ribosomal RNA is filed under the name uncultured bacterium. Its description in RNAcentral is "partial 16S ribosomal RNA". It matches the Rfam family "Bacterial small subunit ribosomal RNA", at positions 29 to 507 of the family's 1533-position model. The record is from RNAcentral.